Molecule: long non-coding RNA, 2330 nt
Filed under: Linum usitatissimum (flax)
Lineage: Eukaryota; Viridiplantae; Streptophyta; Magnoliopsida; Malpighiales; Linaceae
Description: long non-coding RNA (LUSI_LNC006839)
Source: RNAcentral
AGAUGGGGACCUGUAGGACAUCUGUGGGGGAUGUGGCCGUGACGUGGCGAUGACGCCACUCAUCCUACCUCUUCUACGAUUCAGCUCGACGCGAAUUUUCCGGCGAGAUUUCUAGCCCUCCGAUCAAGCUCCAUCUAGUCCUCCAACUCCUAUUUAAACUCGUUUUAUUCAACUCUAAGCCCUAACAAUCAAUCCUGCAGCCAUAGCGACCUCUUUCUCGCUCGAAAUCGCAGCCUCCUACACGAGGGACUCUUGACGAACGUUCGACGGUUGCCGAUUUCAAACCUUCGAUCGAUUGUCCAUCUCUUCCUAAGUUAGGUAAGGGAUUAUUUUUCCCUAUACAAUGGAUUUCGUUUCGUCGGGAUUGUAUCUGAACCCAUUCGUGUUUGGAUUGAUGCUUGAAAUCUCAGAAACAGGCUCGACGUUGGCGAAGUCGUGAAGCUUUGGGUUUGGUGUUUCGUAGAGAUUCUGAGCCUCUAAACUAGUGGGAAAGCUUCGUAUUAAGGUUAGAAACCGAUUCAUAACACUUAAAUUGAGUUUCGGUUUGAUUUUAUUGCCUUUCUAGAAUCUGGGAAUUUUCCGGCGAGUCUGAUGAUGCCUGGGUUGAAGAUGAUGGUUGAACCGAAACGGUACUGCCCCAUUUCGGUUAAACCGGUUCAAGUUUGGUGCAUAAUUACAUCAUCGAUCCCUGAACUUGAGACAAAAUGUCAAAUCAGUCACCGUAAUAGUUAGAAACUCUCGGUAGUCCUUUCCUUAGCCCUUUGUAGUCUGAAACUUUUAGAUCUUGAUAGUUCUAGCCCAAUUCACUUCAGCAGAUUUACAAAGCAGCCCUUUUAGUUACGAAUCCUAUCAUUUGGUACAUUCGACCCAAAAUCUUAAUUAAAUUGUGAAACCAAUAACGUUGUUAUUCGAGAUUAAUAAUAUGAAUAUCCUAAUUUUCAUUAAGAUUAGAUAAAUAUUUAGAAUUAUGACUUAAUAAUAGAAUUAGAAAUUGCUUAGUUUAAUUAAGAAUUUAGUUUUCCUUUCUCAUAGAAUAAUUGAAAGCUUCUAUCAUCUUAUGGAUAAUAAAAGCCUUAUAUCUAAUUACCCUCCUUAGAUGCCAUGAUUAAGAUAGCUCUUCUUAAGUUAGGUUCUUACUCCUAUCUCGAACAUUUUUUUGUCGAGAUGAUUCAUCUUCCCGUCACUUCACAUUUAAAAUGAGAAGUGAUCUCUUCGAAUGGCGCCAAACAUCAACUUAGAGUCUUCGGCUAUUUUAGUUUCUCAACCUAAUCUUUAUCCUCAUCUUUAGGCUCUUAUAGGCGGUCUAGUUCUUGUGCUUAUCUCAUUUCUUUUCCUCGACCGGACCUUCACCACUUGAUUUCCAGGUGGGUUGGUUUAAGGGGGUAAAUUCUUGUUGUGUGUUUAAAUUACGUUAUGCAAUGAUUUAUGAUUAUUGAACUUCCCGUGAUUCAUGAGUAUCCUAAUAAAUAAAUAAUAUUAAGCUUCAUAUGAUCACAUAAUACACUCAUAUGAUCAAAUUAUACACUCAUCCCUAGCUAGACCAUCGCCCCCAUUAUGAUUUACGGGCCGAGUUUUGCCCAUUUUGAUUCAUGGGCCGAGUUUUGCGCUCUAUGAUUUAUGAUACCGUCUGAUGGAUACAUAAUCCUAUACCUCUAUGAUUCUAGCGGUAGGACGGUGGGCUAGUUAGCGGAGUUAGGGGGCCCCUAGAUAAGAAUAUGAUUAGAAGUACUUAUGACUUCUACUGAAUAGAUACUAAGACCCACGAUAUACUUAAAGCCUAUAAAUAAUAUUCCAUGAUUAUGAAUAACUCUUAAUGACAACACCUUAAGAUUAAGAUAAUGAAUACGCAGGACUGACCCCGAGCCACCCACCAGGUCACGCAGGAGGAGCUAGAGAUCGGCCAGCUUCAGGAGAGUGCGAUCGUUGCCCAUCAUGUCGCAGGACUCAAAGUGAGUGAUGAGCUUAGGAGGUCGAGUAUUUGUAGUUUUAUGGAGUUAGACUUGAGACUAUUUCUUUCUGACUUUUAUUGUUGGAUUUAUGGGCGCCCACUUGUUAGGGUUUAUUUCAUCUUUGGCUAUUAUGAGUUUUGUUAGCGAUUUUGGAUUGAUUUUAUCGAUUUUGUUUUGGAGACAUUUAAUAGUCCCGGGCAUUUUGGUCAUUUAAUAAACGCGAGGAGUUUAGGGUUUAACAGUCACAUUUAUCAAGUUCACCCAAAGACAUUCCAACUAGACAUGCAUUCCUAAUUAGGUUCUCGAUAAGCUAGGCAUCACUCACAAGUCAUAUAAGAAUGCUCUAAAAUGCUCAAAGCAUAAAGUUCACUUACCUAGAAA